AAGGGCAGGGGUAGGGCCUACAAUUAACGAUAAAAACGUGACACUACAAGUCGUGCUGCACUGAACCACUUCACAACGGUGUGGCUCCGGAAGAGGUGUCGCCUUUGAAGGCAUUACACAUGUUUACUGUGGGAAAGCAGAAACAGCGGGACAAGCAAUGAUGGCUUCAUAUACACCGCAAGUUGAAUCUGCUAGCAGCACAAAAAACACGCACUACGAAGCGGAAGGGUGAAAAAAAAACAGCAACAAGACAAACAAACACGAUCGCUUCGAUACGGACCGGAGUGAAUUUUUGGCAAAGAGGUGCCAAUUUGACACAUUUAAUUAGUGGCAUUAGCCGGGUGGCUUUGCUGGCGAAGAGGUAAGUCGAAAAUGUGCAGCAAGCAGUACACCUUGGUUCGGCUGGCGUUCGUGAAGUGAUUAUGUUAAGAGCGAAGUAACAACAAGUACAAGGAAUGAAGGACAGCAAAAUGAGCCAUCAAUCUCGGUUCCAGCGAUUGUGGGUAUUAGGGUAUUGAUGCAUCAAAUACGAAUGCAUCAGAGAAGUGCAUUAGGGCGUUUUAUCGUAAGUUAUGAUAUCUCUAAGAGAUUUUUCUUGCGAAGACUGUGAUUAGACUUCUAAGUAAACUGACUAAGCUAUUUGAGUUGAAAUUAAACUUUCAAUUAUAUUUGACACAUCUAUAAUAAUAACUAGUUCUAUACUCUUCUAACCCGUGUAGUGAACAUAUUGAUAAAUAGAAAUAGAAAUAGAAAACUAAAAUCCUCCCGAUUGAACAGAGAAUAAAAAUUGUUAAACAGCUGAAACUCCUAUUCUAU
Long non-coding RNA from Anopheles merus, 816 nucleotides. RefSeq lists it as uncharacterized. The transcript has 3 exons. Lineage: Eukaryota; Metazoa; Arthropoda; Insecta; Diptera; Culicidae. The record is from RefSeq and is a predicted model, not a curated record.